UACGGGGGGGGCAAGCGUUGUUCGGAAUUACUGGGCGUAAAGGGCUCGUAGGCGGCCAACUAAGUCAGACGUGAAAUCCCUCGGCUUAACCGGGGAACUGCGUCUGAUACUGGAUGGCUUGAGUGUGGGAGAGGGAUGCGGAAUUCCAGGUGUAGCGGUGAAAUGCGUAGAUAUCUGGAGGAACACCUAUGGCGAAGGCAGCUCGCUGGGACGGUACUGACGCUGAGGCGCGAAAGCGUGGGGAGCGAACAGG
This 253-nucleotide ribosomal RNA is filed under the name uncultured bacterium. RNAcentral's name for it is "partial 16S ribosomal RNA". It matches the Rfam family "Bacterial small subunit ribosomal RNA", at positions 524 to 776 of the family's 1533-position model. The record is from RNAcentral.